UAAGGAAUAUUGCUCAAUGGGAGAAAUUCUGAAGCAGCAACGCCGCGUGGAGGAUGAAGGGUCUAUGACUUGUAAACUCCUGUAAAGAAGGAAAAAAUUCCCAUUUGAUGGGAGAUGAUGGUACUUCUGGAGUAAGCCCCGGCUAACUACGUGCCAGCAGCCGCGGUAAUACGUAGGGGGCAAGCGUUGUCCGGAUUUACUGGGUGUAAAGGGUGCUCAGGCGGAUUUGUAAGUCAGAGGUGAAAUCUUACAGCUUAACUGUGAAACUGCCUUUGAUACUGCAAGCCUAGAGUAUGGAAGAGAGUGAUGGAAUAUCUGGUGUAGCAGUGAAAUGCGUAGAUAUCAGAUAGAACACCAAUGGCGAAGGCAGUCACUUGGUCCAUUACUGACGCUAAAGCACGAAAGCGUGGGUAGCAAACA
RNAcentral lists this ribosomal RNA (420 nucleotides) under uncultured bacterium. RNAcentral's name for it is "bacterial SSU rRNA". It matches the Rfam family "Bacterial small subunit ribosomal RNA", at positions 355 to 774 of the family's 1533-position model. The record is from RNAcentral.